RNAcentral lists this ribosomal RNA (924 nucleotides) under uncultured Bacteroidota bacterium. RNAcentral's name for it is "bacterial SSU rRNA". It matches the Rfam family "Bacterial small subunit ribosomal RNA", at positions 1 to 916 of the family's 1533-position model. The record is from RNAcentral. Lineage: Bacteria; Pseudomonadati; Bacteroidota.
GGAUCCAGACUUUGAUCCUGGCUCAGGAUGAACGCUAGCUACAGGCUUAACACAUGCAAGUCGAGGGGAGACGACAUCGAAAGCUUGCUUUUGAUGGGCGUCGACCGGCGCACGGGUGAGUAACGCGUAUCCAACCUGCCCACCACUUGGGGAUAACCUUGCGAAAGUGAGACUAAUACCCAAUGAUAUCUCUAGAAGACAUCUGAAAGAGAUUAAAGAUUUAUCGGUGAUGGAUGGGGAUGCGUCUGAUUAGCUUGUUGGCGGGGUAACGGCCCACCAAGGCGACGAUCAGUAGGGGUUCUGAGAGGAAGGUCCCCCACAUUGGAACUGAGACACGGUCCAAACUCCUACGGGAGGCAGCAGUGAGGAAUAUUGGUCAAUGGACGAGAGUCUGAACCAGCCAAGUAGCGUGCAGGAUGACGGCCCUAUGGGUUGUAAACUGCUUUUAUAAGGGAAUAAAGUGAGUCUCGUGAGACUUUUUGCAUGUACCUUAUGAAUAAGGACCGGCUAAUUCCGUGCCAGCAGCCGCGGUAAUACGGAAGGUCCGGGCGUUAUCCGGAUUUAUUGGGUUUAAAGGGAGCGUAGGCCGGAGAUUAAGCGUGUUGUGAAAUGUAGACGCUCAACGUCUGCACUGCAGCGCGAACUGGUUUCCUUGAGUACGCACAAAGUGGGCGGAAUUCGUGGUGUAGCGGUGAAAUGCUUAGAUAUCACGAAGAACUCCGAUUGCGAAGGCAGCUCACUGGAGCGCAACUGACGCUGAAGCUCGAAAGUGCGGGUAUCGAACAGGAUUAGAUACCCUGGUAGUCCGCACGGUAAACGAUGGAUGCCCGCUGUUGGUCUGAAUAGGUCAGCGGCCAAGCGAAAGCAUUAAGCAUCCCACCUGGGGAGUACGCCGGCAACGGUGCAACUCAAAUGAAUUGACGG